UCUCCCUCUAGGCCAGGUUACUCUCCCUCUAGGCCAGGUUACUCUCCCUCUAGGCCAGGUUACUCUCCCUCUAGGCCAGGUUACUCUCUCUCUAGGCCAGGUUACUCUCUCUCUAGGCCAGGUUACUCUCCCUCUAGGCCAGGUUACUCUCUCUCUAGGCCAGGUUACUCUCCCUCUAGGCCAGGUUACUCUCUCUCUAGGCCAGGUUACUCUCUCUCUAGGCCAGGUUACUCUCUCUCUAGGCCAGGUUACUCUCUCUCUAGGCCAGGUUACUCUCUCUCUAGGCCAGGUUACUCUCUCUCUAGGCCUGGUUACUCUCUCUCUAGGCCAGGUUAUUCUCCC
Long non-coding RNA from Oncorhynchus keta (chum salmon), 342 nucleotides. RefSeq lists it as uncharacterized. NCBI's taxonomy places the organism in Eukaryota, Metazoa, Chordata, Actinopteri, Salmoniformes, Salmonidae. The transcript has 4 exons. The record is from RefSeq and is a predicted model, not a curated record.